UGGGGAAUAUUGGGGCAAUGGGGCGCAAGCCUGACCCAGCAACGCCGCGUGAAGGAUGAAGGCUUUCGGGUUGUAAACUUCUUUUCUCGGGGACGAAAGAAAUGACGGUACCUGAGGAAUAAGCCACGGCUAACUACGUGCCAGCAGCCGCGGUAAUACGUAGGUGGCGAGCGUUAUCCGGAUUUACUGGGUGUAAAGGGCGUGUAGGCGGGAAGGCAAGUCAGAUGUGAAAACUAUGGGCUCAACCCAUAGCCUGCAUUUGAAACUGUUUUCUUGAGUGCUGGAGAGGCAAUCGGAAUUCCGUGUGUAGCGGUGAAAUGCGUAGAUAUACGGAGGAACACCAGUGGCGAAGGCGGAUUGCUGGACAGUAACUGACGCUGAGGCGCGAAAGCGUGGGGAGCAAACAGGAUUAGAUACCCU
RNAcentral lists this ribosomal RNA (420 nucleotides) under uncultured Oscillospiraceae bacterium. Its description in RNAcentral is "bacterial SSU rRNA". It matches the Rfam family "Bacterial small subunit ribosomal RNA", at positions 355 to 788 of the family's 1533-position model. The record is from RNAcentral. Lineage: Bacteria; Bacillati; Bacillota; Clostridia; Eubacteriales; Oscillospiraceae.